This 4753-nucleotide long non-coding RNA is filed under the name Capsicum annuum. RNAcentral's name for it is "long non-coding RNA (CANN_LNC018624)". The record is from RNAcentral. Lineage: Eukaryota; Viridiplantae; Streptophyta; Magnoliopsida; Solanales; Solanaceae.
CCCAACCAAAUCGACUUGAACCAACUCCGGCAACGGUGAAACUAGACUCCAACCCAUUUUCUUUUUACCUUCAUCACGCAUUUCACGCAUUCGUAGGACGAGAAAACCCUCAAAAUCUUCUAGAAUGAGUCCAGGUGUCUCCCUCAAUGGCUCAAUUCCACAAAUCUCAGGUAUAGGGGUAUGAUUUCGUACCUAUUGUUACAAUUUCAUUGGCCCUUGGUAAAAAUUCAUUUUUCCUAAAUCUUAUUGGUCCACCAAUUUCAAAAUUUUGGAGAAAAAUAACAAAAUUGGUACAAUUUGUUAAGGGGAAAUCUUAUCUUGAGUUGAAAUGGGGAAUUUCUUUUUAAAAUUCCCUAAAUUGCCCCUGUGUGGCCUCUUAUCCCACAUCAGUGGAGCAUUUGGGAGGGGGAUCUUCUUGCUUUAUAAAUAGCUCUCUUUAGAGUAGGAAAAGGGUUGGAAAUUUUAGUGUGAAAAAAAAAAUCUGAGAAAAGUUAGGUUCGGAAAGAGAGGAAAAAUGGGUUUCAUGAAAUAGUAACUUUUGUUUAACAAAGAUUUUAGGAAGAAGCGAUUAGCUAGCAGGAAAUUUACGGAACGACAUCGAGUUUUCCGGUGGUGUUGGAGUUCGAUGUUAGUUUAUAGUCCUGUUUUGCCGCUUCCGAAUAGGUAAUAUUUCAUUUUAUUUGAUUUUUUGAUUAUUUCUUCUUUGUCUAGACCUUCUGUAGUUUUGAGUAAAUUUUUAAUAAUAUUGCAUGCUGGGUUGUCAGUUGUAGAGGCCUUAAAGGUUAUAGGUUUCUCUGAGUGAAGAAAGUGUUGGAUUUUUAUUACAUUGUAUUAAUGCUGGUUUCAAGUUGAUUAAUGGGAGAUUUUUGUUAUCUCUACCUCGACGUCGAUUUUGUCAUUUACGAUUGAUUUUGCUGGCUACCGCUUAUGUUUUGAAUGCUAGUUUCAUAUCUAAAGUUUCAUACUUUGAUUUUGUUUGGUAAUUUAGGGCUGCUGGUAUCUUGUUAAGGCUGAUUUUGUAGUUAAAGUUUCAUGCUUCGAUCUUGAUUAAUCAUUUUGGGCUAAUGGUACGUUGUUUUGUCUUAUUUCAUAGUUUAAAGUUGCAUGCUUUAAUGGUUGUCGGGCUGAUGGUGUCCUAUUAUAGUUGAUUUUAAGUUAAAAUUUUGGGUCUUAUUAGUUUUGGGCAAAUAGUAUCUUGUUAUGCCUGAUUUCGUAGCUAAAAGUUUCACGUUUUAAUAGUUUCGGGCUGAUGGUGUCCUGUUAUAGCUGAUCUUAGGUAAAAGUUUCAUGUUUUAAUAGUUUCAGGCUUAUUGUAUGUUGUUAUGUUUGAUUUCAAGGUUUAAAGUUGCAUGCUUUAAUGGUUUUCGGGAUGAUGGUGUCCUGUUAUAGCUGAUUUUAUGUUAAAGUAUCGUGUUUUGUUAGUUUUGGAUUGAUGAUGCCUUAGUAUAGCUGGUUUCAUAGUUAAAGCUUUUUGCUUUGAUCAUGUUUAAUAGUUUCGGGUUGAGGGUGUUUUGUGUGUAUUUGACGUCAUUUGUGGUCAUUAGUUGAUGUUGUUGAGCUGGUAACGUCAUUAACCGAACUUUCUCUUGAGUUCGUUGUCUUCUCAAAUGACAAAGAAUAACGAGGAUAUGUCUGAUAAAACUAGCAAAUCCCAUGAUUCCUCGAUGACCAUUUUGGCUAUUGAAACUCGUUUUGAGUUUGUCGAAAAGGGGAAAAGGUUGAUAAGAGUGCCCAGCCGCAUCCCCUCUUGAUUUAUUUUCUCUGUCUUCUCAUGUGCGGGUGGGAAUUUCUUUGAAAGUAAAUAAAAUAAUGUGUUAUUUCAUGUAACUGAACAAGUUGUGCCUUAUGACAGAAUCUCUGAAGUUUGUUAUCCAUUUUUAUUCAAUUUUAUGCUUCGUAAAUUCCAGUGAAGAGUCAUUCUCUCCUUUCUCUGGUUGGGUACUACUGUUAAGCCAGAAGGAUCAUAGUAGAUUGUUUCUGAAUGGCGUAUCUUCUUGUUUUGUUCUUGACUCAUUUGUUCGCGAUAUUAUUAGUGUAUAAUAUAGAUGGUGGAAUUAAGACAUUACCAUUGCAAGAAACUUCAAAUUGUAUUCUCAGUGAGAUGUCGAAGUUACAGAAGCAGAUGGGAUAUCAUAUCUUCAUUUACUACAUUUUUAGCCUUUAUGGCUCAUCUCCAGAUAUUCAGUCAAAGUUAUGCAAAGUUUAGAAUAAAUUUUAUGUGAAGUUAUGUACUUCAUUAACCAUCUUCCUAUGUGAAUCAAUAAUAAAAACGAAUAUGUAGCUGAUGUCAUUUUUCCUUAAAAGACUGAAAAAAAACUCUAAUAACAAUAUUAAUUUUGGUUGGUUUCUUAUUGCAAUAUUGCUUUUAUUUAUCUCAAAUUCUAACUGUGUGAAUCAUUGAUUGGUGCUUGACUAUCUUUUUAUGGUACUAUGAAUCCUUUAACAUGCUAACUACCAACCUGAAAUAUAUAUUAAUUCAUAUAUUUUUCUUUUCUUCGCAUUAAUCCGCCUUGGAGUCCAAACAGGCUCUUUUCCCUUGCAUUUGUUAAUGGGCCAAUAAAGGCCCAUCUCAUGGAGUCAAGCCCGAAGUUCUAGGUCCAAAAGUGAUCCCAUGGCGUAUAGACACGAUGAGUUGGAAGAAGAAAGGCGGGUUAAAGACCCAUAUUUAAAGCGGCUAAGAGACUCAAAAGUCUCAUUUGUUGUUUUAUUUAUUUAAGUAUUGUUGUCUUUAUUUAGUUUAUUUAUUUAUUUAUUUAUUUAGGAAGGGCUGGAAGAUGCGAAUUACGACAGAGGAUUAGGGCCAGUUCGGGUCGCUAGUGUAGGGAAUUAAUUGGUGGGGGUGUAUUCCUGUUAUGAUUCUGUAUUCAGUGUUUCGUGUUCCGUGUUCCAUGUUUAUUACGAAUCUGUGUGCUUUCCUCUGCUUUAUUAUUCCUGCAUUCCUACUUUACUCUGUUUUAUAUUCCCUAUGGGUGCCGUAUCUAUGUUAUGUCAUCUGCUGCUGUGCUGUACUAUGUGUUUGUGUGAUAUCUCGUGACUUGAGCCGGGGGUCUUUCGGAAACAGCCUUUCUACUUCAUCAGAGGUAGAGGUAUGGACUGCGUACAUCUUACCCCCCCCAGACCCCACUAAGUGGGAAUACACUGGGUUUGUUGUUGUUGUUGUUGUUGAUUUAUUUAUUUAUUCAUUCGGGCUAUGAAGCCCAAGUUGUAUUUAAUACAGGUGGAGCAGAUUUUGGGCCAACGGGCCUGAAAAGAAAAAUAGUUUAGGACAGGUGCAAAUGGGCCAAAAGCCCAAUUAGGGUUGGGCCCAAUGGCCUAAAUUUUUUACUUUCUCCUCCCUUUCCCCUUUUACGUGUUUAUUUGUUUAUUAAUUUUAUUUAGACUUAGUUAAAAUCCCUACUAAGACACAUAAAUCUAUUUUACACAAGUCUUUUCUAAAAAAAACUCAAUCACUUAACAAAUUAAUAUUUUUGGAAGUUAAUCAAAAGAUGUUUUCAAAUAGUCCAGAUAACCGCAAAUUAGCGGACGUUUUAGGUGUCUAACACCUUCUUAAAAUGUUAAUAGCCGCUUACUCAGGAUCUUCAAAACUUAAAUGAUUUUUCUGUUUUGGAUCGUUUAAAGGUUUUUUAGUUUUUUUUCAAAAUUAAAUGGAGACUUUGAAAGUCAAAUUUUCGCAAAAAAGAAAUGGCGAUUCUGCUGGGGAUAUUUAACUAGGCUUUAACCAAAUGUUUGAUUUCGUCUUUUGAUUAAUUGUUUACAUGUUUAUAUGUUUCAAUUUUGCGGUAUUUAAUUAUUGUAUCUCAUAGCAUAAUCCUGCAUUGAUUUAUUAAAUUAUUUUAGGGUUUCGUGAAUGUCUCAGCUCCUGUUGUUCAAUUCCAAAUAAAGUGUUGGAAAUACGUUGGUUUAUUAGCACGUGAGUCAUCUGAUGGCUGUCGUAUUUUCAAACACAAGUCGUCCUCUUAGGAACCUUGUUCAAAUCCACUCUAGACACCUAGGAUAAAGCAAAACCAAAAUUCUAUUUUAGGUAUGAGCCUAGGACGACCCAAUACUUGAGGAGGUAUUGGGCCUAUUAUAAAAUUUGUCCUGUGUCUAUUGACCUCGAGUCAAUUACAGACGAAUCAUAUUUAUGUAUUGAAGAAAUUUAUGUUUAUUUAAUCCAAUCCAUUAUCCUUUGGGGGUUGGGAAAAAUCUUGCUUACUUUCGUGUAAGGAUGCCUUAAUCAUACACUAAUUGAGAGAGGAAUCGAAGCAAGUCAAGCAAGAAAUUAAUCGAUUUGGGCGGUUGCAUCCAAGGCAUAGCCAUACGAAAAUUUCUUGAUCAUCAAUAGAUGUCGCCAAUGAUAAGAAGUGGACAAAGCUAAGAAGGACAAGGCCGACAGAAGAAGCAUUCAGGAGUUAGUAUUUCUCAUCCCCUGUGCGGGACAUCAUUCUUUUUCUCAUGUUAUUUUCCUUUCCCUAAAGAUUGUACCCCUUUUGUGCAACUUUUAUAGGCAUUUAUGUCAUUUAUCUAUAUUUAUGAAAUUGGGGGAUAAUGGAUUGGCUUUAAAAAAAAGCAUAUAUUUUCUUCAAAGUUCGUCAGGCCUAACCCUUGGCUCAAAAGGGUCACCUUAGUUAGGAUACGUGUUAUUAUAAUAUUUUUAUGCGAUAUAACCACCUUAUGUGUUUAUGUGCAUUUAUUUGAAUCAAAGGCAAUUUUAUCCACUAUGCUCAUGUGGAUCACUUUGGCUAUGAAAAACAACUCUAUGUGUUUAUUACUU